GCUUGUCUCAAAGAUUAAGCCAUGCAUGUCUAAGUAUAAGCAAACUUGUACUGUGAAACUGCGAAUGGCUCAUUAUAUCAGUUAUAGUCUACUCGAUAGUACCUUACUACUUGGAUAACCGUAGUAAUUCUAGAGCUAAUACAUGCGCAAAUACCCAACUGCUUGUCGGACGGGUAGCAUUUAUUAGAUUGAAACCAAUGCAGUCUUCGGGCUGGUAUUGUGUUGAGUCAUAAUAACUUCGCAAAUCGCAGUAAUACUGCGAUAAAUCAUUCAAGUUUCUGCCCUAUCAUGCUCUCGAUGGUAGUGUAUUGGACUACCAUGGCUCUCACGGGUAACGGGGAAUUAGGGUUCGAUUCCGGAGAAGGAGCCUGAGAAACGGCUACUACAUCUAAGGAAGGCAGCAGG
RNAcentral lists this ribosomal RNA (405 nucleotides) under uncultured Peronosporales. Its description in RNAcentral is "partial small subunit ribosomal RNA". It matches the Rfam family "Eukaryotic small subunit ribosomal RNA", at positions 30 to 432 of the family's 1831-position model. The record is from RNAcentral. Lineage: Eukaryota; Oomycota; Peronosporomycetes; Peronosporales.